CAGGAUUAGUAACCACAAGACUAUAAAUCAAGAACCAUUUUCAUCGUAAGGAAAUAGUUCAAAUAAUUUAUCUACCUUCUGAAUUGUAUUUGGGAAGAAACUCUAAUCGAAUAUCAGAAAAAAUGGCAAAGACCUCGUUUGUGUGCAUCUUCGCAUUGGUGCUGAUUAUAUCAGUUCACAUCCACACCGUGUUUGGUCAUGAUCAAGACAAUAAAGACAUGAUGGAUAAAGCCGGCGACGCUGCUUCAUCGGCAAAGCAUGCAGCGGAGGACUUGGGACACAAGGCUUCCAAUGUCGCGCAGAACGCUAAGGACACCGGCUCGUCAUGGGCUGAUUGGUUUAAAGGCAAAUUCUCGUAGGUUAAUCGGCUUUCCACUACUCUUCUGAUGCAAAUUUUACUCUAUACGCCUAAUCGCAUUAUCACGUACAUUCAAAACUUACUUACAUUUGCCUGUAUUUCACUCCUUUUUCCAGAUUCGACGCAAGCGUGGGAGAUGAUGACCACGAUCAUGCAAAGGGACCUUCCAAACCUUAAUCUCGUUGCUAUGACAACUUAGUACAUAAAUAAGUAAAGACCGUGUGUUACAUCACUAACGGGAACCCCUAAUUCCCAUUGGUCUUAGGAGUAGUAAUAAGAAUGAAGAACAUCGCUCAGUCUCGACUCUCGUAGCGAAGUGACAUGAAGAUUGAAUAUAUCAUUGUAAUUAUGAACAUACGUACAUAAUAUGAUCUGCUUGUGCAAUUUGAUGCACUACAUUAUUCAACAAGCUCUCAAUUCCGUAUUACAAUACGUUUCCAAUUUCUAAGAACGUACUUCAACAUUUAUACGUUGUAUAAUAGCAUGUAUAAUAUCUAAAUACAACACUUUUUAUUCAAAUCAAGGUGAUUCAAAGGAAUGGGAAAUAUUACCUACCAGUAGCAGAUCUCUGGU
This 931-nucleotide long non-coding RNA is filed under the name Fragaria vesca (wild strawberry). Its description in RNAcentral is "long non-coding RNA (FVES_LNC001080)". Lineage: Eukaryota; Viridiplantae; Streptophyta; Magnoliopsida; Rosales; Rosaceae. The record is from RNAcentral.